UACGUAGGGACCAAGCGUUGUUCGGAUUUACUGGGCGUAAAGGGCGCGUAGGCGGCGCGGUAAGUCACUUGUGAAAUCUCUGAGCUUAACUCAGAACGGCCAAGUGAUACUGCAGUGCUAGAGUGUGGAAGGGGCAAUCGGAAUUCUUGGUGUAGCGGUGAAAUGCGUAGAUAUCAAGAGGAACACCUGAGGUGAAGACGGGUUGCUGGGCCAACACUGACGCUGAGGCGCGACAGCCAGGGGAGCAAACGGG
Molecule: ribosomal RNA, 253 nt
Filed under: uncultured bacterium
Lineage: Bacteria
Description: partial 16S ribosomal RNA
Rfam family: Bacterial small subunit ribosomal RNA
Source: RNAcentral